Molecule: non-coding RNA, 202 nt
Organism: Linepithema humile (Argentine ant)
Lineage: Eukaryota; Metazoa; Arthropoda; Insecta; Hymenoptera; Formicidae
Source: RefSeq, a predicted model, not a curated record
CGCCAAGAUAGUGUGAUAUUUUAGUGUGUGUGUUUUUCGUGUGUUUAACGAAGUGCUAGUGUAUUUUCAUGAAAUUCAUCAAUUCUUCGGCGCAGCUGGUGCAGUCUAAGGCGGAAUCUACAUUGGAUUGAGCAAAUUGCAAUACCCGUGCUGGUAUAGCUGAAAGUGUUUUCAGAUAUUCAGCUUGGGUACAACGACCGGU